CUUUCGCUAGGCGGUUCACGAGCGCUGAGGAGGAGCUCUCUUUCCUUUGGCGGCUCUGUCGCCACUCCGUUGCGUCGGCCACUCUCACCGGAAGUGCCCCCUCCUCCUCCCGUACCCGCGACGCAUCCUCGCUUCCACGCCCAUUCUAAUUUCUAUUUCACGCGAGCGGCGCCGUCCAUCCCUCCGAUGCAGUGCCGGCCUUUCGUGCCCAGCGCCUGCCGCUGGGGCAGCAGCGCGCUCUGGCCGUUCGGCGGAAUGCCGACCCGGGUGCCGGUUCGUAAACCGUUACGGUGGCCAUCGAGAGGCUGAUUCGGGCUCACAGAUCAAGCUUGGGACGCGUUCUGACGCCUCUUUGUGUGUGCUGGUGGUCUUUCGGCCGCGUCAAUCCCUGGACAUGGAAACGCCACGCAUUCAAAAAAGAAACAGUUGGUGGAGAUUUGCAGAUAUCCGAAGGGCGAGAUAGUUCAUGGGGAGAUCAUACCGAAAGGUGGGCGUGAUCGGGAGGAAUCAUCUGCGUCUCGGUCAGCCUGUGGCGGGGCGGGCGAUCUUUGGUCUCUUCCAUCCUCUUGACCUUAUCACACGUGCUUUGUCUGAUGGAUACAUCUGCUUGUGUUCUCCGUCCUCCUGGCUCCACUGGCACACUAUUGUGGACCAUGGAUUGUGACGCUCUGCGGCCCAUUAAUUGAACUCUGAAGCCGUUCAAACUUGACAGUAAACUGGGGUGGCGUGUGAGGCUUGGCAAUGGCCCUUGGUUCGGAUGCUUGCGCACGACGGUGACGACGCCUCGCAUGGCGAUGCGGCGACGGCGAGCUUGAGCAGCUGGCGCUGGAGCUAGAGGCAGAGAGGCUGGUGUUGUGCUGGGUGACAUUGCAGGGCGGUCUCUGCCGGGGGCAAGCCGCCGGCGCUACCGCCGGAGGCGAAUAAGCCGCUGCUUGGAUUGUUUUAUUGUGCAGAUACUGGGGUAGACAGGAGCAGGUGAGAAAUAGUCUUUCCACCACGAUGUAGCAUAUCCGACAUUUCUCCCGCGAUUGUUUGUCCGACGCCUUGGCUUGGAGCCA
Molecule: long non-coding RNA, 1058 nt
Organism: Triticum aestivum (bread wheat)
Lineage: Eukaryota; Viridiplantae; Streptophyta; Magnoliopsida; Poales; Poaceae
Exons: 2
Source: RefSeq, a predicted model, not a curated record